UACAGAGGGUGCGAGCGUUAAUCGGAAUUACUGGGCGUAAAGCGCGCGUAGGCGGCUUUGCAAGUCGGGUGUGAAAUCCCCAGGCUUAACCUGGGAACUGCAUUCGAGACUGCAUUGCUAGAGUAUGGGAGAGGGAAGUGGAAUUUCCGGUGUAGCGGUGAAAUGCGUAGAUAUCGGAAGGAACAUCAGUGGCGAAAGCGACAUCCUGGACCAAUACUGACGCUCAUGUGCGAAAGCGUGGGGAGCAAACAGG
This 253-nucleotide ribosomal RNA is filed under the name uncultured bacterium. RNAcentral describes it as "partial 16S ribosomal RNA". It matches the Rfam family "Bacterial small subunit ribosomal RNA", at positions 524 to 776 of the family's 1533-position model. The record is from RNAcentral.